GGUAUGGGAUGAGCUUGCGUCCGAUUAGCUAGUUGGCGGGGCAACGGCCCACCAAGGCGACGAUCGGUAGCCGGCCUGAGAGGGUGAUCGGCCACAUUGGGACUGAGAUACGGCCCAGACUCCUACGGGAGGCAGCAGUAGGGAAUAUUGCACAAUGGGGGGAACCCUGAUGCAGCAACGCCACGUGUGGGAAGAAGCAUUUCGGUGUGUAAACCACUGUCAUGAGGGAAUAAGGCCCGCCUUCGGACGGGAUUGAAUGUACCUUGAGAGGAAGCACCGGCAAACUUCGUGCCAGCAGCCGCGGUAAUACGAGGGGUGCAAGCGUUGUUCGGAAUUACUGGGCGUAAAGGGAGCGUAGGCGGAGAUUCAAGCGGAUUGUACAAUCCCGGAGCCCAACCCCGGCUCUGCAGUCCGAACUGGAUCUCUUGGAUAGUUCAGGGGCAGGC
Molecule: ribosomal RNA, 446 nt
Filed under: uncultured bacterium
Lineage: Bacteria
Description: bacterial SSU rRNA
Rfam family: Bacterial small subunit ribosomal RNA
Source: RNAcentral